RNAcentral lists this ribosomal RNA (256 nucleotides) under Nocardia sp. ISOM111_OTU656. Its description in RNAcentral is "partial 16S ribosomal RNA". It matches the Rfam family "Bacterial small subunit ribosomal RNA", at positions 29 to 289 of the family's 1533-position model. Lineage: Bacteria; Bacillati; Actinomycetota; Actinomycetes; Mycobacteriales; Nocardiaceae. RNAcentral also lists the same sequence under 1 other name. The record is from RNAcentral.
ACGAACGCUGGCGGCGUGCUUAACACAUGCAAGUCGAGCGGUAAGGCCCUUCGGGGUACACGAGCGGCGAACGGGUGAGUAACACGUGGGUGACCUGCCUCGCACUUCGGGAUAAGCCUGGGAAACUGGGUCUAAUACCGGAUAUGACCAUGGAAUGCAUGUUUUGUGGUGGAAAGAUUUAUCGGUGCGAGAUGGGCCCGCGGCCUAUCAGCUUGUUGGUGGGGUAACGGCCUACCAAGGCGACGACGGGUAGCCG